Molecule: long non-coding RNA, 925 nt
Filed under: Anas platyrhynchos platyrhynchos (common mallard)
Lineage: Eukaryota; Metazoa; Chordata; Aves; Anseriformes; Anatidae
Description: lncRNA (ENSAPLG00000021307.1)
Source: RNAcentral
AUGUCAGUGCCAGCUCCGGACCAACUGCAUGGUGUUUACAUGCUGCCAGGUUCCCAGAAAGGAAUUUGUCUCAUCUUAAAGCAGACUUCUGCAGUUGCUCAGUGGAUUUUCACAUUACUGCUGGUGGCAGGAAUUUACCCAACUCAUAACCAGGAUGGAAUAAAACUACCUAAUCCAGCUCCAAAGGAUAAAGGUAUCCUGCUCCCUGGGAAGUGUGCUGGGAUUUUCUGGAGGACUGGGAUCCGAAGACGAGGACUUCAGCUCCACCUUCUGCUGAAAGAAUGGAGCAGAGAGCACGGCAGGCAGCAAGGUCCAACUUCAAACAGGAGCAAAGAGCAUCAGGAAGAUUCCAGGUGGGAAGGGUCUCUGGAGGGCUCCACUUCAGCUCUAGGCAGGGCUAGCUUCAAGACAGAUCAAGUUUUCAAUAUCUCUGUAGACUGAGAAACUACAUUUUGAAGAAAACUUCUUCAGCAUUUGAUUAUUCUCCUAGUAAAAAUUUUCCUUCCUACUACCCAUCAAGAGCCUCCCUGCUGCAUCUUGUGACCACUGCCUCUUGUCCUUUUGCUGAGCAAUUUUGAGAGGAGCUUGGCUUUGCCUUCACUACCACCCUCCUCUAGACAGUUGAGGACAGCAAUUAGAUUUCCCUCAAUCCUCUUCUCCUCUGGCCCAAAUAUAUCCAGUUCCCUCAGCCCACCCUCCUAUGCUACAUGUAUGUGCUCCAGCCCUCCGCACAGGAGCGUUUUAUUCAAGAUUAAUAACGUUAUUUCAUUAUUACAGAGGUCAAAAAUAGCAACCUUAGGAUGUCGCCCUGUGCAUUUUAAUGAUAAAAUGAUGGCAUUUUAAAAUCAUUCAAUGAUUUUUUCCUCAUUUCAUAUAGGUUAAAUGCUCCAAUAAAUUACACAAUAAGUGAGAAAUUAUAUUGAGU